RNAcentral lists this non-coding RNA (22 nucleotides) under Arabidopsis thaliana (thale cress). Lineage: Eukaryota; Viridiplantae; Streptophyta; Magnoliopsida; Brassicales; Brassicaceae. The record is from RNAcentral.
CGGGAUCCCUCGCGGGUGCACC